GACUCUGUAACUCAAUCGGUUAGAGCGCUGCACCGGAGUAGCAGGGCCCGCAUGUUUGAUUCCUGCCGGAGGGCA
Paramuricea clavata is the source of this 75-nucleotide non-coding RNA. NCBI's taxonomy places the organism in Eukaryota, Metazoa, Cnidaria, Anthozoa, Malacalcyonacea, Plexauridae. The record is from the annotation of a GenBank genome assembly.